Molecule: ribosomal RNA, 514 nt
Filed under: uncultured Acidobacteriota bacterium
Lineage: Bacteria; Pseudomonadati; Acidobacteriota
Description: bacterial SSU rRNA
Rfam family: Bacterial small subunit ribosomal RNA
Source: RNAcentral
CAACGCCGCGUGGAGGACGAAGAUUUUCGGAUCGUAAACUCCUUUCGAUCGGGACGAAUGACUGGUGACCCAACACGUCAUCAGAGUGACGGUACCGAGAGAAGAAGCCCCGGCUAACUCCGUGCCAGCAGCCGCGGUAAUACGGGGGGGGCAAGCGUUGUUCGGAAUUACUGGGCGUAAAGGGCGCGUAGGCGGCCUGCUAAGUCACACGUGAAAUCCCUCGGCUCAACCGGGGAACUGCGUGUGAUACUGGCGGGCUUGAAUUCGGGAGAGGGAUGUGGAAUUCCAGGUGUAGCGGUGAAAUGCGUAGAUAUCUGGAGGAACACCGGUGGCGAAGGCGGCAUCCUGGACCGAGAUUGACGCUGAGGCGCGAAAGCUAGGGUAGCAAACGGGAUUAGAUACCCCGGUAGUCCUAGCCCUAAACGAUGAGUGCUUGGUGUGGCGGGUAUCGAUCCCUGCCGUGCCGAAGCUAACGCAUUAAGCACUCCGCCUGGGGAGUACGGUCGCAAGGCUG